AACAAGGCGUACCUGCGGACCUGCGGAAGGAUCAUUACCGAGUUUACAACUCCCAAACCCCUGUGAACAUACCUAUAUGUUGCCUCGGCGGAUCAGCCCGCGCCCCGUAAAACGGGACGGCCCGCCGCAGGAUCCACAAACUCUGUUUUUAUUGUAACUUCUGAGUAACAAAACAAAUAAAUCAAAACUUUCAACAAUGGAUCU
RNAcentral lists this unclassified non-coding RNA (204 nucleotides) under soil metagenome. Its description in RNAcentral is "partial contains 5.8S ribosomal RNA, internal transcribed spacer 2, and large subunit ribosomal RNA". The record is from RNAcentral.